GUGGGAGGGGGCUUGCCCCCGAUAGCGGUGGGUCAGUAGAGAUAUCUGUGACUGACACACUGCAAUCGGGGGCAAGCCCCCUCCCAC
This 87-nucleotide unclassified non-coding RNA is filed under the name Pseudomonas libanensis. The record is from RNAcentral. Lineage: Bacteria; Pseudomonadati; Pseudomonadota; Gammaproteobacteria; Pseudomonadales; Pseudomonadaceae.